GACGAACGCUGGCGGCGUGCUUAACACAUGCAAGUCGAACGGAAAGGCCCUGCUUUUGGGGGUUGUUCGGUUGCCAAAGGGGGGGUUACCCCUUUGUUACCCGGCCUUUGCUUUUGGGUUACCUUCUGAAACCUGGGGCUAUACCCGUAUGGGGCCUCCUCUUCCCUGUGGGGGUUUGGAAAGUUCCGGCGGUUGGGGUUGGACUCGCGGCUUUUACGCUUGUUGGUGGGGUAGGGGCUUACCAAGGCUUUGACGGGAUCCAGGCCUGCGAGGGUGACCGGCCAAAUUGGGACUGAGAUACGGCCCAGACUCCUCCGGGAGGCAGCAGUGGGGAAUAUUGCACAAUGGGCGGAAGCCUGAUGCAGCAACGCCGCGUGCGGGAUGACGGCCUUCGGGUUGUAAACCGCUUUCGCCUGUGACGAAGCGUGAGUGACGGUAAUGGGUAAAGAAGCACCGGCUAACUACGUG
This 468-nucleotide ribosomal RNA is filed under the name uncultured bacterium. RNAcentral describes it as "partial 16S ribosomal RNA". It matches the Rfam family "Bacterial small subunit ribosomal RNA", at positions 28 to 507 of the family's 1533-position model. The record is from RNAcentral.